Molecule: ribosomal RNA, 1740 nt
Filed under: Triticum aestivum (bread wheat)
Lineage: Eukaryota; Viridiplantae; Streptophyta; Magnoliopsida; Poales; Poaceae
Description: partial small subunit ribosomal RNA
Source: RNAcentral
AUGGAGGAGCAUCUUGCCGCGCUCAUCAAGUCCGUCAACGAAGGCCGCGCCGCCAACGACGCGCGGCUGGACGCGAUCGAGACCUCCCUCGAGCUCUGGCGCCCAGUGGUGACGAGCCUGCAGAACCAGCUCGACGAGCUCCGCACGCAGGUGGGGCGCAUCGCCCUCCACCCCGUGCUGGCGGAAUCGACGGGUCCUGCGACGGAUCUCGCCGGAGCCGCGGUGGAUCCGGGCCGAUCGGAAGCCGAUCGGGUGGGGCUCAAGACGGGCGAGCAAAAUACCAGCAACCUCGAGCACCACGGGCUAAGUGGCCACGGCGACGUCGAGAAUUCCGGGGGUUUGGCUUACGGGGUUGUCACCACCCAGUUGCCGCCUCCGGCCAAUAGUACGUCUCUGACUGAUCCUGCCUUUAGAUCUCUUGCCCUGAGUCACGUAGGUCAGUAUAGAGAGUACGACGCACGCGCACAGCAUAAUCCGGCGAGUUGGUCUCUGCCUAAAUUGGAUUUUCUAUCAUUUGAUGGGGAUAAUCCACAAUUUUGGCAGACUCGCUGUGAGAAGUAUUUUGAUGUUUAUGGGGUUCAACCAGAAUUUUGGGUUCGGGUUGCUACCUUGCAUUUUACUGGGAAUGAUGCUCGUUGGUUACAGUUACAUGAAGCUAAGAGUAGAAAUCUGACUUGGGUGGAAUUGUGCACAGCUCUCUAUGGGGAAUUUGGCAGAGAGCAGUACCAAGUGUACCUACGCCAAUUUAGAACCCUCAAACAAACAGGCACGGUUAGCGAGUAUAUGCAUCAAUUUGAAGAAAUUAUGCAUCAGUUGUUAGUGCAUAACCCUGCAUUUGAUCAUUUGUUUUUCACACCACAAUUUUUAGAAGGGCUCGGGCAAGAGAUUCGUAUGGGCGUUGUACUUCAUCAACCAAAGGACUUGGACUCCGCUUUUUCCCUAGCUUCUUUGCAGGAAGAAUUGAUGGACGCCAUGCCUCGCCGUGACCCAAGGCGAUAUGAGGCUCCCCAAGUACGGCAACAACCUCGCCCACUCCUCGCUGGCGGGGCACCACUGGGUCGUCCCAUUCCCCUGGUGCAGCCUGCAGCAGCAGAUGAUCGGCGUGGGGUGGAAGCGGCACACCCACCCGAGCGACUGUCACGGAGAGAAGAUCGCGUAGCCGCGCUGAGAAACUACAGGCGUGCCCGUGGCCUGUGCUUCAAAUGCGGUGAAAGGUGGGGGCAGGGGCAUCAGUGUGGACCGGCAGUUCAGCUGCAUGUGGUCGAGGAACUGUUGGAGCUGUUGCAGGCAGAUCAAGGGGCUCAACCAGUUCAGGAUCCAGAUUCAGACGAGGAUGUCCUCAUGUGCAUCUCCAAGGUCGCUACUACCGGCCAAACUACACCGCGCACAGUUCGGUUGCUGCGAAACAUUGGAGGACAAGAAGUCUUAAUCCUGGUGGAUUCAGGGAGCUCACACAGUUUCCUUAGUGAGGAUGUAGCGGCGCGGCUGCAAAUACCAAUACAGCCAAUGGCUGCUGUCUCAGUCAUGAUUGCGGAUGGAGGAACAUUAUCUUGUUCAGGCAGCAUCCCAAGGUGCAAGUGGGCGAUGCAAGGGCACGAGUUUGUAACUGAUUUGAUAGUUUUGGCGCUGGGUUGCUAUGAUAUGAUCGUGGGUAUCGAUUCGCUUGAAGCUUGUGGUCCUAUGUGGAUUGAUUGGGCAGAGAAACGACUGCAAUUCACACACCAAGGGCAGCUUAUUUAA